Equus asinus (donkey) is the source of this 1551-nucleotide long non-coding RNA. NCBI's taxonomy places the organism in Eukaryota, Metazoa, Chordata, Mammalia, Perissodactyla, Equidae. The record is from Ensembl.
AGAGGGACCCAGGCCAGAGAUCAGGAACAGAGGCUCCAGGCAGAUUGGCGGCAGCAGCAAAAACAUCACAGCAGUAGAGGGAUGGACGAGGACCAGACAAGAAGCUCAGAUGAACAGCCAGACUGACAAUCAAGAUCUUCAGGUCAGGGCGGGGCUGGACUUCUGGAACAUACUGAGAUGAGGCUAGGCGAGCCCUGGGUCUGCAGGAUCGGCACCCACACCCCGAAUGUCAGCUUCCAUCCUCGUCCUCUGUUUCAUUUGCUCCCCACUAGGAUUUGGCACAGUCCUGUUCUACCAGUUCCUGCCUGUGUGAGCUGUGCCAAGGGGAAGCAAGGGGAGGGUUUGUGCUGUGCGUUCUUGUUAAAGGGAGGUAGGCCUUGCGGGCAGGGAACCUAAGGGAGGUGACACUUAGGGGAUAAACAGAGCCCACGGGGUCAGCUCUUCUCUACAGUUAGGAGGGUCCCUUUCGCAUCAGUGUGGGAGGUUCUGGGCUUUCCUAAGGAGUGGAUACCCACCACCACGCCCACCACCCACGGAGGCCUGGGCACCACUGUGUCAGGGGCUCUGUGUGCACGGCCUUGCUUCGUCCUAGAGAUGAUUCUGCAAGUAGGCAUUGUCCCCACAGCUGCACAGCUGGGCAGUGGCAGAGCCAGGAGUGGGUCUCUCUGGCUCCCAAACCUGCAGCCACCCCUGAAGGACAUUGCUUCCCUGUGACAAGGUGGUGUCAAGACCUGUAAGGGGCAUGUGAGCACCUUCCUCUACAAAUGAGUGGUGUUCUGAGCCCUCUUCGUCCGUGUGGGCAGCGCUGCCAGGCUGUUUCUAGGAAGGGACUUUUGUGUCUAUGCUAAGAUGCAUAAGCGUGGGAGCAAAAAGACCCACUGCACUGGGCUAUCUGUCACUGACACAGCACAGGAUGCUCAGAGCAUCUUCCCGUUCCAGCGGCGUGAGCUCCAUGAUGCUCCCAGGCCUCAUGAGAGACUGUCCAACUGCUUGCUUUGUCCUUGAGAGUCCUUCUCUGCGUCCGAGUUCUUUAGGGCUUUGGUUUCUAAGUGAGGCUGCCACAGCCUGGAAAUCCCUCUCUGGAUUUCAUCGACUGGGAAAACAGUGACUGAAGGACAUCAUGCAGAUCCUAAUGACAUCAUCUGUGGAAGAUCCAUGGAGCCCCCAAAGCUUCCUGGCCUGGACCAGGCCCACAGUGGGCACUCUCCCUUGUGGCUGCAUGUUGGGUAACCUGGGUAGUGCUCAUAGCUGUUGGUUCCCUGGGGUCCCACCGCAGUUCUGACUUAGUUGGUCUGGAGUGGGGCUUGGGCUUCCAGGUUUUUAAAAGCUCCCUGAGGUGGUUCUAAAAUGCAGCCAAGACUGAGAACCAUUUGUGUAGCAGCUCUGUGGAUAUAAGAGAGCUCACGCACAGGCACUGUGUGCAUGGAGAAAUCUGCUUUGUUUUUUAGGUCUAACAGCAGCUUCUCAUCAAGUUCAAGUCUUUAUCAUUAAAAUGCUUGAUUCUAAUAAACAGAAUUCUCCACUUGCUACUUCUGGUGAUGGGGCAGCCUG